Nymphaea colorata (pocket water lily) is the source of this 3455-nucleotide long non-coding RNA. RefSeq lists it as uncharacterized. The transcript has 4 exons. The record is from RefSeq and is a predicted model, not a curated record. Lineage: Eukaryota; Viridiplantae; Streptophyta; Magnoliopsida; Nymphaeales; Nymphaeaceae.
AAUGGAACAGGCAUUGGAGCUUCCAAAGCUGCCCUCGACAACAACUCACAGGUCACCCUACCCCUCUCCUACUGGUUCCCUCUCACUCCAUAUUACCCUCUCUUCUUCCUCUUUUCCUCUUCCUCUUCCUCUUCCUUCCUCUUCCUCUAUCAUAUACCACUAUUUCCUAUUUCUCUUUCUCCCUGCCUCAUGACCCCCAUUUCUGGCGCUAUUAUAAGAAGAUUUGAUCGAGACUGCAAGAUUGGGACUGGUUCUUCUCCAGUCAAGCAGUGGAGUUGCAGUUAAGUUCAUCCACCGAUAAUCUACUCCAUUCAACACCGUAGUUGUUUGGAUCAAGAGUCUAGAAGGUUCCCCCCUGAUGAGAAGGCAGCUAAUGGUUACGUUUGAACAGAAUUGAUUCUAUUCUCUGAUUUUUCUGUUUUUCAUCAUCAUUUGUUAUUAUUCUUGUAUCGAUGCUCUAUAAAAGGGCGUUCAUAGCCUUUAAUUGAAAUGUGAAGAAAUCUUCUCACCUUUUCUCUGUGUGUGUUCCUUUCUCUGCUCUGUUAUGCUCCACUGCAGUUUAUCAUGGUAUCAGAGCAUUGAACCAUGGCAAACACACAAAUACCUCCUGUCCAACCAAUUUCUGAGGCUGCAACUGAUAUCAACUCUGUUGACUUCUCAAGCCCUUUUUUUCUGCAUCACUCGGACAACCCUGGGACUGUAUUGGUCUCUCAACUUCUGACGGGUGAAAACUAUGCAACUUGGAGCCGUGCAAUGCUCAUGGCUCUCUCAGCCAAGAACAAGACCUCGUUUGUAGAUGGCAGUCUUCCUCAACCCAAAUCCUUGGCACCUGAGUAUUGUCUGUGGAAUCGCUGGAAUCACAUGGUACUUUCCUGGCUCUUAAAUUCCAUUUCUCCUGAUCUUAUGCACAGUGUUAUCUAUGCCUCAACGGCAAUAGAAGUCUGGAACGACCUCAAAGAAAGAUUCACCCAAAGCACUGCUCCCAGAAAAUACCAAAUCAAAUCUGCCAUCUGUCGAUUGAAAGCAUUGUGGGAUGAGCUGGACCCUUAUGAUAUUUUACCUAACUGUUCAUGUGGUGCUCUGAGCAAAAUAUUUGUCAACCAGCAAGAAGACAAAGUCAUUCAGUUUCUCAUGGGUCUGAACGACUCCUACAACACAAUCUGUGGUCAGAUCAUUUUAAUCGACCCUCUGCCAUCAAUCUCUAAGGUUUACUCACUGGUUCUUCAAGAGGAGAAGUAGCGUGAAGCGAGAAACUCCUCCAAUCCAGUCGAACAUGUGAGCUUGCUGUCAAAUUCAGACAAUAGAUCAAUGAGAAGCAAAGGGAUCAGGAAAAACCAAUACCUCUGCAACUACUAUCACAUCUCUGAACACACAAGAGACCAUUGCUUCAAAUUAGUGGACUAUCCCACAAACCCAAAAGGAUCAAAGUUGAGGGCUGACAAGGGUGCGACUGCGAACAGCGUUGUUGAUUCAGAGAAGAACGGUGGAUGUGGCACUGCAUCCAAUGCUGCUGGUUCAUCUUAAAUUGGCAUUGAAGCUGCCAAAGAGCCUACCCAAUCCCUGACUGUGGAUGAGUGUAUCAAAAUUAGGCAACUCCUGAAAGACAUUUUUCUACCUCAAGUGAACUUUGCAGGACCGGAACUCCAUGAUGAAGACUGGUCAGGGUGACUUGCGGAAUGGACUGUAUGUUGCAAAUUUCCUCAACAACUCCUUGAACUCUAUGGCCUUCCACAGUAGUAGGUUUAUCUCACCAGAAAUGUGGCACAUAAGGCUAGGGGGCACAUAAGGCUAGGACACCCGUCAAUAUCCAAAGGCCAUCUCUUCUUGAAAUAUGACUCUGGUAUUGAGCAGUCGAACAAGCAUUGUGACACUUGUAAACUGGCAAAACAGACCAGAUUACCUUUUAACUCUAGUGAAACUGUUUCUACUGCUAUUUUUUAACUUGUCCACUGCGAUAUUUGGGGCCCAUACCCUGAAGCAUCACACUCUGGUGCAAAAUAUUUCCUGACUUUGGUUGAUGAUUUCUCUUGCACUGUGUGGGUCAUCCUUAUGAAACACAAAAGUGAGACUUCCUAUCAUCUGAAAAAUUUUAUAAACUUGAGCAAAAAUCAGUUCAGCGCCAAUGUACUGAAAAUCAGAUCAGGCAAUGGCACUGAAUUUUUUUAUGACAAUCUGAAAACCUUUUUACUUGAAAAGGGGAUUGAACACCAUCAUUCAUGUGUUUAUACCCCUCAACAAAACGGUGUUGUCGAAAGGAAACAUCGACACAUUCUUGAUGUUGCGCCGAGCACUAAAAUUCCAAUCAAGUGUUCCGCUAAUCUUCUGGGAUGAGUGUGUUCUCACAGCAGUAUACUUAAUAAGCAGAACACCAUCCUCGUUAUGCAGAACAAAACACCAUAUGAAAUCUUAAUGGGAAAGAAACCAGAAUAUUCUCACCUCAUGUCUUUUGGUUGCCUUUGCUAUGCAACUAACAUUUACCCCAAAUCCAAGUUUGAUCCCAGAGCCAUUCGAUGCAUCUUCUUGGGCUAUCCUCAGGGACAAAAAGCCUACAAGGUGUGUGAUUUGCAAACCAAAAGAGUUUUCACUAGUCGUGAUGUUAUAUUUUACGAAAAUAUAUUCCCAUUUAAACUUGUUGAAAAACCACAAGUAUCACCUGUUCUUCCACUGCCUCUUACAGAUGAUCACAUGGAGCCAAUUGAUGGUCGUUUAGCCACCAAUAACCCAAGGGCCCAGCCACCUCAGUAUGACACAACUUUCCCUUCAUCAGAAUCACAUUCUCAAUCACAAAAUCAAAACCAUCUUGAAACCGACUCCACCGAAAACUCUCAAGUUGUAUAAACUGAAACUGAACCUGAACCAAACUCAUUAACUCAUCCUAACUUCAGCACAGCCAUGCAGCCAAAUACUGCCCAACCUUGUGAACUGAGACGCUCCACCAGGCUACGCAGACCAUCAGUACUCUUGAGAGAUUUUUACUGCAAUGCAACUGUCCUAAAGUCACUCAACCAAUCUUCAUAUGGAAAUCGGUCCAGCACAAGGUAUCCUCUCUCCAAUUCAUUAUCUUUCUCUAAUUUCUCUGAUUAUCAUGCUGCCUACCUUUUAAAUAUCUCUUGCUAUACCGAACCUUCAUCCUAUAGUCAAGCAAUACAGGACUCUAGGUGGACAGAUGCUAUGCGAGAUGAACUAAAAGCAUUGGAGAGCAACAAUACAUGGAUGCUCACUCAACUGCCACAAGGUGCCAAACCAAUUCCCUGCAAAUGGAUAUAUCGCAUCAAAUAUAAAUCAAAUGGAGAAAUAGAGCGAUUCAAGGCCAGAUUAGUGGCAAAGGGCUUUACACAAAUUGAAGGAAUUGAUUACGAUGAAACAUACACUCCCAUAACAAAAUUGACAACUGUAUGAUGCUUGCUAUCAGUAGCUGCAAAGAGAAAUUGGCUGCUUCAUCAACUGGAUGUCUA